UGUUGUGUGAGGAGCGAACCAGUUAGAGAACCGAGACGAAACACGGCCAGUCGUCGGUUCUCUUUCUG
Pleurocapsa sp. PCC 7327 is the source of this 68-nucleotide non-coding RNA. NCBI's taxonomy places the organism in Bacteria, Bacillati, Cyanobacteriota, Cyanophyceae, Pleurocapsales, Pleurocapsaceae. The record is from Rfam.